Molecule: long non-coding RNA, 390 nt
Organism: Hyalella azteca
Lineage: Eukaryota; Metazoa; Arthropoda; Malacostraca; Amphipoda; Hyalellidae
Exons: 3
Source: RefSeq, a predicted model, not a curated record
GUGGACGGAAGCCGCGCAAGCACAGAAAAGGGAACGCCCGGCGCAACCUCUACCCGUGGCUGCUGGGGCUCAAGAAGCGGGAGCGCUACGAGUGCAGCGCCACUCUUAUCAGCGACUCGUGGCUGCUGACGGCAGCGCACUGCGUCGCCCGUUCGCUGGAGAGCCGAAACGAGACAAUGGACCCUCGUGACCUGAAGGUUCAGCUCACUCGGGAUCCGCGUAACAACAAAUCCGUGAAGAAAAUAAUACUUAAUCCUGACUACGAGCCCGGCCUUAUUCCGCUCAACGACCUCGCUCUCGUGAUGCUGGAGAGACCGUUGAUCUUCAGCGAGAGCAUGUACCCCGCUUGCAUAAACUUCAAUGGGGAAGGCUCCCGCAACAACUCCAAAU